RNAcentral lists this ribosomal RNA (253 nucleotides) under uncultured bacterium. RNAcentral describes it as "partial 16S ribosomal RNA". It matches the Rfam family "Bacterial small subunit ribosomal RNA", at positions 524 to 776 of the family's 1533-position model. The record is from RNAcentral.
UACAGAGGGUGCGAGCGUUAAUCGGAAUUACUGGGCGUAAAGGGCGCGUAGGCGGUGUCAUGUGAGUGAUGUGAAAGCCCUGGGCUUAACCUAGGAAGAGCAUCGCUAACUAUGAAACUAGAGUAUAUGAGAGGGUGGCGGAAUUUCCGGCGUAGCGGUGAAAUGCGUAGAGAUCGGAAGGAACAUCGAUGGCGAAGGCAGCCACCUGGCAUAAUACUGACGCUGAGGCGCGAAAGCGUGGGGAGCGAACAGG